RNAcentral lists this ribosomal RNA (880 nucleotides) under uncultured beta proteobacterium. RNAcentral describes it as "bacterial SSU rRNA". It matches the Rfam family "Bacterial small subunit ribosomal RNA", at positions 24 to 900 of the family's 1533-position model. Lineage: Bacteria; Pseudomonadati; Pseudomonadota; Betaproteobacteria. The record is from RNAcentral.
UCAGAUUGAACGCUGGCGGAAUGCUUUACACAUGCAAGUCGAACGGCAGCACGGACUUCGGUCUGGUGGCGAGUGGCGAACGGGUGAGUAAUGUAUCGGAACGUGCCCAGUCGUGGGGGAUAACGUAGUGAAAAUUACGCUAAUACCGCAUACGAUCUAUGGAUGAAAGCGGGGGAUCGCAAGACCUCGCGCGAUUGGAGCGGCCGAUAUCAGAUUAGGUAGUUGGUGGGGUAAAGGCCCACCAAGCCAACGAUCUGUAGCUGGUCUGAGAGGACGACCAGCCACACUGGAACUGAGACACGGUCCAGACUCCUACGGGAGGCAGCAGUGGGGAAUUUUGGACAAUGGGCGAAAGCCUGAUCCAGCCAUUCCGCGUGCAGGAUGAAGGCCCUCGGGUUGUAAACUGCUUUUGUACAGAACGAAAAGGUUUCUACUAAUACUAGGAGCUCAUGACGGUACUGUAAGAAUAAGCACCGGCUAACUACGUGCCAGCAGCCGCGGUAAUACGUAGGGUGCAAGCGUUAAUCGGAAUUACUGGGCGUAAAGCGUGCGCAGGCGGUUAUAUAAGUCAGAUGUGAAAUCCCCGGGCUCAACCUGGGAACUGCAUUUGAGACUGUAUAGCUAGAGUACGGCAGAGGGGGAUGGAAUUCCGCGUGUAGCAGUGAAAUGCGUAGAUAUGCGGAGGAACACCGAUGGCGAAGGCAAUCCCCUGGGCCUGUACUGACGCUCAUGCACGAAAGCGUGGGGAGCAAACAGGAUUAGAUACCCUGGUAGUCCACGCCCUAAACGAUGUCAACUGGUUGUUGGGUCUUAACUGACUCAGUAACGAAGCUAACGCGUGAAGUUGACCGCCUGGGGAGUACGGCCGCAAGGUUGAAAC